UUGUCUUUUAAAUAAAGACCAGUAUGAAUGGCAAGACGAAAGUUCAACUGUCUCCCUAAAUUAAUCAAUGAAAUUGAUCUUCCCGUGCAGAAACGGGAAUAAAAUUAUAAGACGAGAAGACCCUAUGGAGCUUUAAAUAUAUGAUCAACUGUGUAAUAUAAAAUUCAACAGAUUAAAUAUUAAAUAAAACAUUAUGAUCAAAAUUUUAGGUUGGGGCGACCACGGAGAAAAACAAAACCUCCGAGAUGAAAAGAGUAUCUUAAUUUAUGAACUACAGUUCUAAUAAAUAAAAUAUUUAACAUAAUUGAUCCAAUAUAUUGAUCAACGAACUAAGUUACCCUAGGGAUAACAGCGCAAUCCUUUCCAAGAGUCCCUAUCGACGAAUGGGUUUACGACCUCGAUGUUGGAUCAGGACACCCCAAUGGUGCAGCCGCUAUUAAAGGUUCGUUUGUUCAACGAUUAAAGU
Molecule: ribosomal RNA, 466 nt
Filed under: Batrachuperus pinchonii (Western Chinese mountain salamander)
Lineage: Eukaryota; Metazoa; Chordata; Amphibia; Caudata; Hynobiidae
Description: partial 16S ribosomal RNA
Rfam family: Bacterial large subunit ribosomal RNA
Source: RNAcentral